AUGGAGGCGAUCUUGCGCUCCAUCCCAGCGGAGAUGGUGCUCACCCUUGGCGCCAAGGAGAUGGCCAAGGAAGCAUGGGACACCAUCAAUACUCUGCGCAUCGGCGUGGUGCACGUAUGGGAGUCGAAGGCCCAGACCUUGCGCCUCCAGUACGAGGAGAUCCGGUUCAAGGCCGGUGAACAAUUCGACGACUUCGCCUUGCGGUUGCAAGGUCUCGUCAACGAGCUCGCAAUGCUCGGAGAUCACAUCGACAACAAGAUGGUGAUUCUCAAGUUCCUCCGCGUCGUCCCAAGGCAGUACAAGCAACUGGCCUGGUCCAUCGAGAGUUUGGUGGAUCUCUCCACCAUGACGAUCGAGGAGCUGAUAGGGCGGCUGAAGGUCGUCGAGGAGCGCAGCGACGAAGCCGACAACUGUGCUGGCGGCGAACUACUGCUCUCCAGGGAGCAGUGGGACGCGCAGCUUCAGCAGCGCGGCUGCGACGGCUCUUCUGGCAGUGGGGGAGGCGCCCCCACGGGAAGCAGAGGUCGCGGCAGAGGCGGAGGCCGUGCCCAGAGCGGCGGCAGCAACUGCGGUCGCAAGCCAAGCCAGGCAGGGCGAGGCACUGGCAAUGGUGGAAAGUGCCGCUGCUGCAACAUGCCGGGUCACUGGAUCCGGGAUUGCCACAGGAGGAAAGCCGACGAGGCAGCCGCGGCAACGACAAACCUCGUCCAUGCUGACGUGGACGGCGGGCCGGCAAUGAUGCUGGCAAGAGUCGAGCCCGUGCAGGAGAGCACAGUGUCUCUCGCGACCACGGCUCCGACAACCACCCAUUCCGUGCAGGAGGCACGGAACCCGUCCACGGGAACCAUCACUCCAGUGAUAGGCCACACCUCGACAACGACGUUUUCGGGCCUGUCGACUGGGAGGCGAUGA
Molecule: ribosomal RNA, 912 nt
Filed under: Triticum aestivum (bread wheat)
Lineage: Eukaryota; Viridiplantae; Streptophyta; Magnoliopsida; Poales; Poaceae
Description: partial small subunit ribosomal RNA
Source: RNAcentral